This 803-nucleotide long non-coding RNA is filed under the name Marmota monax (woodchuck). Lineage: Eukaryota; Metazoa; Chordata; Mammalia; Rodentia; Sciuridae. The record is from RNAcentral.
GUUGACUCCUGAUGAGUAACUGCUCACCAGUGUGUCCUUCUUAUGGAUCCAUUGCCUGGUCCCCAGCUUUGUGCAACACACAUUAGUCAUUUCAGCCUCAUCCCUCACUCUGUCCCCACUGAGCUGAAUAUCAGAGGGUUGGGGUUCUGGCACUGAGAUGGAGGAGUAAAUAUGACAGUUUUUAGAAAGAAGUCAUUUUGGUCUCCUCUAGAAAAUCAUGUCCAUUCCUUCAGUCCCACAAUAACCCACUUGUGGGUACUGCAUAAGCACCCCACUGCCUCCCCAUCUCCCUUGUUUGCCCUCCCACUGACUCCAGGCCCUGGAGAGGCACAGGUGGAUACUUACGCUGCUGGGGUGGAGGAUGGGCAGAGGCAGCAGCAGCAGCGGAACGCAGACGACCAACAGCAGGUUCCUUGCUCCAAGAAGGCCCUGAAGAAGGCCCAUGGUGGCCCUAUCUCCUCUCCGCGCCCCUGGACCUGCUCUGCCCGGAGCGCCUUUGGUCCUCACUACGCACGGCAUCUGUCCAGGAAGACUUCUUAAACCUUUCUUGGCUCCCAAGAGUCCUCUCUGGUCUUGGGGGCAGAAGAGGAGGGCUGUUCUACCCCCUUUCCCACCGAGGGCUGGGCUCCUGGCCUUGGCCUUAGGUGGGAUUGAUGAGCAUGGUUUUAUGACCAGCGAGAAGGAACUGGGGCAUAGUGGGUUCCCUCUCCGCGUGGUUAGCAAGAGAGCAACCUCAUUCUAGCCAUCGGGAAAAGCCCUCUUAAGCGAUUAAACCCACACUUUGCUGCUGUUCGGCUUUGAAG